GUUGUCCGGAUUUAUUGGGCGUAAAGCGAGCGCAGGCGGGUAGAAAAGUCUGAAGUGAAAGGCAGUGGCUCAACCAUUGUAGGCUUUGGAAACUGUUUAACUUGAGUGCAGAAGGGGAGAGUGGAAUUCCAUGUGUAGCGGUGAAAUGCGUAGAUAUAUGGAGGAACACCGGUGGCGAAAGCGGCUCUCUGGUCUGUAACUGACGCUGAGGCUCGAAAGCGUGGGGAGCGAACAGGAUUAGAUACCCUGGUAGUCCACGCCGUAAACGAUGAGUGCUAGGUGUUAGGUCCUUUCCGGGACUUAGUGCCGCAGCUAACGCAUUAAGCACUCCGCCUGGGGAGUACGACCGCAAGGUUGAAACUCAAAGGAAUUGACGGGGGCCCGCACAAGCGGUGGAGCAUGUGGUUUAAUUCGAAGCAACGCGAAGAACCUUACCAGGUCUUGACAUCCCGAUGCUAUUUCUAGAGAUAGGAAGUUUCUUCGGAACAUCGGUGACAGGUGGUGCAUGGUUGUCGUCAGCUCGUGUCGUGAGAUGUUGGGUUAAGUCCCGCAACGAGCGCAACCCUUAUUGUUAGUUGCCAUCAUUGAGUUGGGCACUCUAGCGAGACUGCCGGUAAUAAACCGGAGGAAGGUGGGGAUGACGUCAAAUCAUCAUGCCCCUUAUGACCUGGGCUACACACGUGCUACAAUGGCUGGUACAACGAGUCGCAAGCCGGUGACGGCAAGCUAAUCUCUGAAAGCCAGUCUCAGUUCGGAUUGUAGGCUGCAACUCGCCUACAUGAAGUCGGAAUCGCUAGUAAUCGCGGAUCAGCACGCCGCGGUGAAUACGUUCCCGGGCCUUGUACACACCGCCCGUCACACCACGAGAGUUUGUAACACCCGAAGUCGGUGAGGUAACCGUAAGGAGCCAGCCGCCUAAG
Molecule: ribosomal RNA, 920 nt
Filed under: Streptococcus anginosus
Lineage: Bacteria; Bacillati; Bacillota; Bacilli; Lactobacillales; Streptococcaceae
Description: bacterial SSU rRNA
Rfam family: Bacterial small subunit ribosomal RNA
Source: RNAcentral